RNAcentral lists this small RNA (228 nucleotides) under Vigna angularis var. angularis. RNAcentral's name for it is "Non-protein coding transcript". Lineage: Eukaryota; Viridiplantae; Streptophyta; Magnoliopsida; Fabales; Fabaceae. The record is from RNAcentral.
UCUCUGUCCAUCCCAACUCUAAGAGCGAUUUCCAUCACAUUUUUGGUGGUUGUAGGGCACUGUUUAGGUUCUUGCUAUGAGGUACUGUUAGAGCGUUCUAGUGGGUUGUGCUGCUCAACUUCAAGAUAAGGGGAGCUGGAUCUUGCUUUCUGUUCUGUAGAUUAAAAUGAUACAUGGUGGUGCCUUGUUGGUGUGUAGAAUGAUUGCAUGGUAGCUCAGUCUUGGGGG